RNAcentral lists this ribosomal RNA (253 nucleotides) under uncultured bacterium. Its description in RNAcentral is "partial 16S ribosomal RNA". It matches the Rfam family "Bacterial small subunit ribosomal RNA", at positions 524 to 776 of the family's 1533-position model. The record is from RNAcentral.
UACAGAGGUCCCGAGCGUUGUUCGGAUUCAUUGGGCGUAAAGGGUGCGUAGGCGGCGGGGCGAGUCUGAUGUGAAAUCCCGGGGCUCAACCCGGAAAUGGCAUUGGAUACUAUUCGGCUAGAGGUUUGGAGGGGGGACUGGAAUUCUCGGUGUAGCAGUGAAAUGCGUAGAUGUCGAGAGGAACACCAGUGGCGAAGGCGAGUCCCUGGACAACACCUGACACUGAGGCACGAAAGCUAGGGGAGCAGACGGG